This is a long non-coding RNA of Ipomoea nil (Japanese morning glory), 209 nucleotides long. RefSeq lists it as uncharacterized. NCBI's taxonomy places the organism in Eukaryota, Viridiplantae, Streptophyta, Magnoliopsida, Solanales, Convolvulaceae. The record is from RefSeq and is a predicted model, not a curated record. The transcript is spliced from 3 exons.
GAGCGGUGGAUUUGGCCGUGGUGAGGUAGUUGGUCCAUAUAUUAUGGAGGUGCCUAAUGCAGUGGGGGAUGAUCCUGCCAAGACUGAGGCAGAGAUAUACGCUGAAAAGACGGACGCACUAGCUCUAGCUCUUGUGGACAUGAUGGAGUUCAUGGAUCAGCAUAUCGGUCUACCUCGGCCUCCUGAAGCUUUUGAUAGGCUUGUAUUAG